UGGUUUUAUUUUCCAAAUUUCUCUAAGUUUUCAUUGUUUAGUGUAUAAAUACUCGUUUCUGGUUUUGAUCUGACAUGAUAACAUGUACAUGUGUCUCAUUGUCAAGUGCCUUUUUUUAUCUGCUUGGAAGCAUUUUAGUUCUGGCGUGUUUGUAUUCAUGGCUCCUUGUAAAGUGCGGUUUUCUAUUCCCUGAGCUGCUGGUGGUUGUGUGCGUGCAGAGGUGGAGUGUGGUGGUGAAGAUGGUGACAGCAGUGGGAGGCGGGUAGGGCGGCAUGGAGGAGGAGAUGAGCCAAGAUGGCCACUUCCAGGAGCUCACCUCUCUCAACUCUGUGCUAUCUUCUACGUACUCCCCUCACCUCCUGAUGCCCAUGGAUAAGGUAGGGAAGAAUGAUAAGGUGCCCACACGCGUCCAUCGGCGAACCUUAGCAGCGGUGCGUUCUCAAGAACGUUGUUGCUGGCCGUACCUUGGAGCGGAGACGACACCGUCCCCAACAUGUUUGGCUGGCAGAAGCUCUGCAUCGCCUCCCCCAGCCUGAGUUGCCCCUCUGGUGGACUAGAUAAAGAGAAUUUGUGCCUCUACAGUCACCUCGACGCAGAUAAGAAGAGAAGAGAGACUUGGCCUUCUUGCAUCAUGCUCGACCAUGGUGUCCUGCUCGCGUUUGUCUUCCUAUGACCCCUGGUAAAGAUAAGGAGACUUUGUGCCCCUACAGCAAUCGUGGGAGCUGGGAGGUGUCGCUGUUGGCCGAGGAGGUGCCGCCUGGGCUGACGCUCAGCAUCAAUUUCGCUCGUCACCGCCCACUCCGACUCGUGGCUCCUCUCAGCUGCAUUCUUCCUCAGCAUGCCGCUGAGUGCCUAACUAGCGAUAAGGAGAAUUUGUGCCUCUACGUCCACCCCGACAUAGAUAAGAAGAGGAGAGACGUGGCCUUCCUGCAUCAUGCUCGACCAUGUUGUCAUGCUCGCGUUUUGUCGUCCUCUUCCCCCCUGUAAUGGUAAGCUUGUUGCAGUAAGAUGAGUAGAUAUGUCUCUCUCAGUUAUGAAAUUUGUAAUUGGGACUGCUUUCUAGUAGGUUUGGCUUAGGUGUGCUUUUGCAAACUAGUCAGAUGACACAAUAGUAUGAACCUUUAAAA
Molecule: long non-coding RNA, 1127 nt
Organism: Triticum dicoccoides
Lineage: Eukaryota; Viridiplantae; Streptophyta; Magnoliopsida; Poales; Poaceae
Exons: 5
Source: RefSeq, a predicted model, not a curated record